Molecule: ribosomal RNA, 305 nt
Filed under: uncultured soil bacterium
Lineage: Bacteria
Description: bacterial SSU rRNA
Rfam family: Bacterial small subunit ribosomal RNA
Source: RNAcentral
CUUCCCAUGUUUUGACAUCUUUUGAAAUUCCUAAAGAUUGGAUUUUUCCCUUUGGGGGAAAAAGUUAAAGGUUGUGCAUGGUUGUUGUUCGCUUGUGUUGUGAAAUUUUGGGUUAAGUUCCGCAAAGAGCGCAACCCUUGAUUUUUGUUGCCCACCUUCAGUUGGGCACUUUAAAGUGACUGCCGGUGACAAACCGGAGGAAGGUGGGGAUGACGUCAAAUUAUUAAGCCCCUUAUGACCUGGGCUACACACGUGCUACAAUGGGUGGUACAAAAGGCUGCCAAACCGCGACGCUAGAGCCAAUC